UCCACCGCCGACACCGCCCUUCAAGGGUGUUGUGCCCACGGCAGCUCCUCGGCCACCACCGUCUGAGGCCGGAGAAGCACCGGGAGAUGCAGGAGAGGAGGGAGUAGACGGAGCUCGUCAAGGACGUUGCGCCCAAGGAGGAAAACAACGCCUCCUACGAGGACCAGCUUGGCUUCGUCCAGUGCUUGCUGCCGGAGAUGGAGGCCCCUAAUCCCUAGUGUCCAUGGUUUCCCGCUAUUGUCGGUGAUGGAGGACACUGCGGAGGCGCUCUUGCGGUAUGCCACGAUGGACGAAGAAGCGUGGCUUCAUGGGGUCCAGCCAUGGCUGCUACGACGGCGGCAAGCGCCAGUCUGGUGGUUUGCUACCAUCGGCUAUGGUGCUUGCCGUCAACGGCGUUCGGCAGUGCUUCAACCGGCUACGGAGGUUGCUGCGAACCAGCGACAACAAUGCUGCCACGGGCAACGACAGAUGCUUCCAGCGGUGUAGGACGGUGCUGCAAACGGUCAGCGGUGGUGCUAUCAACAGUUGAUGGCGGUGCUGCCAGAAGCAAGUAACGGUGCUACUAGCCAGAGUGGGGAUGCUGCUAGUGGUGCACCGGCGAGAAAUAGUUGACGGUGCUACAAUGGUAUAAUUUUGUUGCUUCAAUUAUUCUGCGGUUUCGCUAUUUUGGUGUAAUUUUUUUUGCUACGAGGUCUCCUGCAAGGUUUACGGAGAUGUCUCUAACGAGAUCGAUUUUUUCUACAAUACCACAAAUGUUGCAAUGCUACAAUAA
This is a long non-coding RNA of Lolium rigidum, 772 nucleotides long. RefSeq lists it as uncharacterized. The transcript has 2 exons. The record is from RefSeq and is a predicted model, not a curated record. Lineage: Eukaryota; Viridiplantae; Streptophyta; Magnoliopsida; Poales; Poaceae.